UGUAUAUUGUUCCAAACACCUGACAGAGGAGUGCUGCCAAGCUGACCAAGGAGAAGAAAGCCUUCCAAGAGUCCCACAAGCAGACACUGGAUGACUGGCAAGGAGAGAAGGACAAAGUCAACAUUCUGACCAAGGCCACAGCAAGAUUGAGGAGUCUCUGAGAGCUCAGCUCCAGAAAGAGAUCUAGGAACUCCAGGCCCGUAUUGAGGAUCUGGAGGAGGAAAUUGAGGCUGAGCGUGAUGCCAGGGCUAAGGUUCAGAAGCAGAUGGUCAAUCUCUCCAGGGAACAUGAAGAGAUCAGUGAGAGGCUGGAGGGUUGAAAAUCAUAGGUGGCUACAGAGAUCAAACACAGGAGGAGUUUGGGAUCUUCAUCAAGCGGGU
This is a long non-coding RNA of Oncorhynchus kisutch (coho salmon), 380 nucleotides long. RefSeq lists it as uncharacterized. The transcript has 3 exons. NCBI's taxonomy places the organism in Eukaryota, Metazoa, Chordata, Actinopteri, Salmoniformes, Salmonidae. The record is from RefSeq and is a predicted model, not a curated record.